This 497-nucleotide ribosomal RNA is filed under the name uncultured bacterium. RNAcentral describes it as "partial 16S ribosomal RNA". It matches the Rfam family "Bacterial small subunit ribosomal RNA", at positions 28 to 507 of the family's 1533-position model. The record is from RNAcentral.
GAUGAACGCUGGCGGCGUGCCUAAUACAUGCAAGUCGAGCGAACAGACGAGGAGCUUGUGCCUUUGACGUUAGCGGCGGACGGGUGAGUAACACGUGGAUAACCUACUUAUAUUUCGGGGAUCAUUUCGGGAAACCGGAUCUAAUACCGGAGAAUAUAUUGAACCGCAGGGUGCAAUGGAGAAUGACGGCUUUGCUGUCUGUAAUAGAUGCAUCCGAGCUGCAUUAGCUAGUUGGUAGGGUAACGGCUUACCAAGGCAACGAUGCGUAGCCGACCUGAGAGGGGGAUCGGCCACACUGGAACUGGGACACGGUCCAGACUCCUACGGGAGGCAGCAGUCGGGAAUCUUACGCAAUGGGCGAAAGCCUGACGCAGCAACGCCGCGUGAGUGAUGAAGGUCUUCGGAUCGUAAAGCUCUGUUGUUGGGGAAGAACAGCUGUGGAAGUAACUAUGCCCGUAUUGACGGUACCUAAUCAAAAAGCACCGGCUAACUACGUG